CUGCCGUGGGCGCUGGAGAAUUGAGGGGGGCUGCUCCUAGUACGAGAGGACCGGAGUGGACGCAUCACUGGUGUUCGGGUUGUCAUGCCAAUGGCACUGCCCGGUAGCUAAAUGCGGAAGAGAUAAGUGCUGAAAGCAUCUAAGCACGAAACUUGCCCCGAGAUGAGUUCUCCCUGACUCCUUGAGAGUCCUGAAGGAACGUUGAAGACGACGACGUUGAUAGGCCGGGUGUGUAAGCGCAGCGAUGCGUUGAGCUAACCGGUACUAAUGAACCGUGAGGCUUAACCUUACAACGCCGAAG
This 301-nucleotide ribosomal RNA is filed under the name Escherichia coli. Its description in RNAcentral is "partial 23S ribosomal RNA". It matches the Rfam family "Bacterial large subunit ribosomal RNA", at positions 2642 to 2925 of the family's 2925-position model. Lineage: Bacteria; Pseudomonadati; Pseudomonadota; Gammaproteobacteria; Enterobacterales; Enterobacteriaceae. The record is from RNAcentral.